AAAGUGGAGCAAUCCAUGAGUAAAGUGGCGUACGGGUGAGUAACACGUGGGUAAUCUACCUCUUAGUGGGGAAUAACCUGGGGAAACCCGGGCUAAUACCGCAUAAUCUCGGGAGAGGAAAGCAGCAAUGCGCUGAGAGAGGAGCCCGCGGCCGAUUAGCUAGUUGGGAGGGUAAAAGCCUACCAAGGCAAAGAUCGGUAGCCGGCCUGAGAGGGCACACGGCCACACUGGCACUGAAACACGGGCCAGACUCCUACGGGAGGCAGCAGUGGGGAAUCUUGCACAAUGGGGGAAACCCUGAUGCAGCGACGCCGCGUGAGCGAUGAAGCCCUUCGGGGUGUAAAGCUCUUUCGGCAGGGAAGAUGAUGACGGUACCUGCAGAAGCAGCUGCGGCUAACUACGUGCCAGCAGCCGCGGUAAUACGUAGGCAGCGAGCGUUGUUCGGAGUUACUGGGCGUAAAGGGUGUGUAGGCGGUUCUUUAAGUUUGGUGUGAAAUCUCCCGGCUCAACCGGGAGGGUGCGCCGAAUACUGAGGGACUCGAGUGCGGGAGAGGAAAGUGGAAUUCCUGGUGUAGCGGUGAAAUGCGUAGAUAUCAGGAGGAACACCGGUGGGUGUAGACGGCUUUCUGGACCGUAACUGACGCUGAGACACGAAAGCGUGGGUAGCAAACAGGAUUAGAUACCCUGGUAGUCCACGCCCUAAACGAUGCAUAUUUGGUGUGGGUCAUUCAGUUGAUCCGUGCCGGAGCUAACGCGUUAAAUAUGCCGCCUGGGGAGUACAGUCGCAGGGCUGAAACUC
Molecule: ribosomal RNA, 799 nt
Filed under: uncultured Bacillota bacterium
Lineage: Bacteria; Bacillati; Bacillota
Description: bacterial SSU rRNA
Rfam family: Bacterial small subunit ribosomal RNA
Source: RNAcentral